This 247-nucleotide unclassified non-coding RNA is filed under the name Hevea brasiliensis (rubber tree). The record is from RNAcentral. Lineage: Eukaryota; Viridiplantae; Streptophyta; Magnoliopsida; Malpighiales; Euphorbiaceae.
GUCCCGACGAAAUCCUACAGCUUGAGAUCCUACAUAUAAUUUUUGUUUGCCCUUGCCCUUUUCAGAGUCUUUGAUAUUGUUCUUAGACUCUACAGAAGAGGUCUUCUCAUUAUUAGCAGUGUCAUCAAUAUCCAUUUGNNNNNNNNNNNAAUUGAUCCAACAACAGAUGGAAACACGGCCUUAGGUGCAUCCUCGCCAGCGUAGCCAGCUUUGCAAGUAUGCGAGCCCAGGUCAAUCACUAUAGCUG